UUACAGGGUAAACUCUCCAUUGGCAGGCAGCCACUUACAGAAUUAAUAUGCAUUUUUGUUUUAGUCUGCUCUCUGCCAAAGGAGAUUUGCCCGGCGAU
RNAcentral lists this small RNA (98 nucleotides) under Manihot esculenta (cassava). Its description in RNAcentral is "precursor microRNA miR399h". It matches the Rfam family "mir-399 microRNA precursor family", at positions 8 to 110 of the family's 117-position model. From Rfam's summary of the family: mir-399 was identified in both Arabidopsis thaliana and Oryza sativa computationally and was later experimentally verified. mir-399 is thought to target mRNAs coding for a phosphatase transporter. The mature sequence is excised from the 3' arm of the hairpin. Lineage: Eukaryota; Viridiplantae; Streptophyta; Magnoliopsida; Malpighiales; Euphorbiaceae. The record is from RNAcentral.